UGGCUCUCCUAGCAUGGGAGAGUGACACUUUAAUCCUGCUCUCAUUUUCCCCCUUCUUCUUUAAGGCUGCUACAGACCACUGCCUAAUCUGUGAAUAGAGAUUAAGAAAUUUCUUUAACAACUUGUCAGUGAGGCUUACAUUGGAUCCAUUAAAAAAUACAGCAUGAUGAAUAUGGAAAUAUGUUUAGAAAAACUGCAUAUGUUUAAUCUACAUCAAAUUGCUUCUUGUCAUGGGAAGGGAGCAGGAGGAGAGAGAGGAAGAGAAAUUUGGAAUGCAAAGUUUUGCCAAGAAUGAGCUGAAGAAGAAAAUGUCAAAUCACUCAAGUAUAUUUGCUAAGAAAACCUCAAAUGGGAACAUAAAGAAUUGAAGAUGACUAAAAUGAUUCAACAACAAAAUUAUGUUGUAUGACUUGCAAGAAUUUAUACAGCAUCAUUAGAAUAUUGCUUUAAAAAGAUGGGCUUUUGUUUCCAGGGGACGCUUAAUGUAAUUAAAAAUAUAACAAAGUCUCCUAAAGACAAUCAAGAUUGUUUUCCUUCCCCUAUUUUAUUAUCCCUUUUUUAUAGUUGAGGAAGUUGAGGCAGAUAGAAUUUAAAUGUUUUGACUGUGUUAUACGUCUAAUAAUUAAGGUCAUAUUUGAACUCAGAUCUUUUUGACUCCAGGCCCAAUGUUCUAUCCACUUCAUUAUUUUGCUUCUUGAAAGGAACAAAGCUUGCUAAGUACAUUAAGAAAAAAGUUUAUUUAGAGACUAAUGUGACAUCAAAAUAAAAGAAAAUAAAAACCCACAA
This is a long non-coding RNA of Antechinus flavipes (yellow-footed antechinus), 786 nucleotides long. RefSeq lists it as uncharacterized. The transcript has 3 exons. NCBI's taxonomy places the organism in Eukaryota, Metazoa, Chordata, Mammalia, Dasyuromorphia, Dasyuridae. The record is from RefSeq and is a predicted model, not a curated record.